GUUGAACGCUGGCGGCUUGCCUCAUACAUGCAAGUUGAGCGAACAGACCAGGAGCUUGCUCCUCUGCCGUUAGCGGCGGACGGGUGAGUAACUCGUGGUUCACCCUCCUCUAGGACUGGGAUAACUUCGGGGAACGGGUGCUAAUACCGGAUAAUAUCUUGUGUGGCUUGUUUCAAUAGUGUUAUGCACUUUUCCUGUCGUUUCUAGACGGAUCCGAGCGGCAUUAUCUAGUUGGUAUGGUAACGGUAUACCAAGUCAACGAUGCGUAUCCGUCCUGAUAGGGUGAUCGGCCACACUGGAACUGAGACAGGGUCCAGACUCCUACGGGAGGCCGCAGUAGGGAAUCUUCCGCAAUGGGCGAAAGCCUGACGGAGCAACGCCGCGUGAGUGAUGAAGGUCUUAGGAUCGUAAAACUCUGUUAUUAGGGAAGAAAAAAUGUGUAAGUAACUAUGCACGUCUUGACGGUACCUAGUCAGAAAGCCACGGCUAACUACGUG
Molecule: ribosomal RNA, 497 nt
Filed under: uncultured bacterium
Lineage: Bacteria
Description: partial 16S ribosomal RNA
Rfam family: Bacterial small subunit ribosomal RNA
Source: RNAcentral